This 501-nucleotide ribosomal RNA is filed under the name uncultured bacterium. RNAcentral describes it as "partial 16S ribosomal RNA". It matches the Rfam family "Bacterial small subunit ribosomal RNA", at positions 29 to 523 of the family's 1533-position model. The record is from RNAcentral.
AUUGAACGCUGGCGGCAUGCCUUACACAUGCAAGUCGAACGGCAGCACGGGUGCUUGCACCUGGUGGCGAGUGGCGAACGGGUGAGUAAUACAUCGGAACGUACCUUAUCGUGGGGGAUAACGCAGCGAAAGUUGCGCUAAUACCGCAUACGCCCUGAGGGGGAAAGCGGGGGACCGUAAGGCCUCGCGCGAUUAGAGCGGCCGAUGUCUGAUUAGCUUGUUGGUGAGGUAAAAGCUCACCAAGGCGAUGAUCAGUAGCUGGUCGGGGAGGACGAUCAGCGACACUGGGACGGAGACACGGCCCAGACUCCUACGGGAGGCAGCAGUGGGGAAUUUUGGACAAUGGGGGCAACCCUGAUCCAGCAAUGCCGCGUGAGUGAAGAAGGCCUUCGGGUUGUAAAGCUCUUUUGUCAGGGAAGAAACAGCAGCUCUAACACAGUCUGCGAAUGACGGUACCUGAAGAAUAAGCACCGGCUAACUACGUGCCAGCCGCCGCAGUAA